GAUGAACGCUAGCGGCAGGCCUAACACAUGCAAGUCGAGGGGCAGCACAGAAACAGCAAUGUUUUGGUGGCGACCGGCGGACGGGUGCGUAACGCGUAUGCAACCUACCUUUAACAGGGGGAUAACGGAGAGAAAUUUCCACUAAUACCCCAUAACAUCGAUCAAGGCAUCUUGAUUGGUUGAAAACUCCGGUGGUUAAAGAUGGGCAUGCGUUGUAUUAGGUAGUUGGUGAGGUAAUGGCCCACCAAGCCUACGAUACAUAGGGGGACUGAGAGGUUAGCCCCCCACACUGGUACUGAGACACGGACCAGACUCCUACUGGAGGCAGCAGUGAGGAAUAAUGGACAAUGGGGGCAACCCUGAACCAGCCAUGCCGCGUGCAGGAAGACGGCUCUAUGAGUUGUAAACUGCUUUUAAACAGGGAUAAAGCACAGUAUGUAUACUGUGUUGAAGGUACUGUAAGAAUAAGGAUCGGCUAACUCCGUGCCAGCCGCCGCGGUAA
RNAcentral lists this ribosomal RNA (502 nucleotides) under uncultured bacterium. RNAcentral's name for it is "partial 16S ribosomal RNA". It matches the Rfam family "Bacterial small subunit ribosomal RNA", at positions 28 to 523 of the family's 1533-position model. The record is from RNAcentral.